GAUGAACGCUAGCGAUAGGCUUAACACAUGCAAGUCGAGGGGCAGCACAAGGUAGCUUGCUAUCUGGGUGGCGACCGGCGCACGGGUGCGUAACGCGUAUGCAACUUGCCCUAUACAGGAGGAUAACCCGUCGAAAGACGGACUAAUACUGCGUAUGCUCACAACUUGGCAUCAAGUGGUGAGGAAAGAAAUUCGGUAUAGGAUAGGCAUGCGUCCCAUUAGCUUGUUGGUGAGGUAACGGCUCACCAAGGCAACGAUGGGUAGGGGAACUGAGAGGUUUAUCCCCCACACUGGUACUGAGACACGGACCAGACUCCUACGGGAGGCAGCAGUGAGGAAUAUUGGUCAAUGGGCGCGAGCCUGAACCAGCCAAGUCGCGUGAAGGAUGACUGUCUUAUGGAUUGUAAACUUCUUUUAUACGGGAAUAACAAGAGUCACGUGUGACUCCCUGCAUGUACCGUAUGAAUACGCAUCGGCUAACUCCGU
Molecule: ribosomal RNA, 486 nt
Filed under: uncultured bacterium
Lineage: Bacteria
Description: partial 16S ribosomal RNA
Rfam family: Bacterial small subunit ribosomal RNA
Source: RNAcentral